GAGGGUAUAGUUUAGUGGUAGGGCGCAUGCUUAGCACACAUGAGGUCCUGGGUUCAAUCCCCAGCACUUCCA
RNAcentral lists this transfer RNA (72 nucleotides) under Camelus bactrianus (Bactrian camel). It matches the Rfam family "tRNA". Rfam says of the family: Transfer RNA (tRNA) molecules are approximately 80 nucleotides in length. The record is from Rfam by way of RNAcentral. Lineage: Eukaryota; Metazoa; Chordata; Mammalia; Artiodactyla; Camelidae. RNAcentral also lists the same sequence under 2 other names.